Rhipicephalus microplus (southern cattle tick) is the source of this 193-nucleotide long non-coding RNA. The record is from RefSeq and is a predicted model, not a curated record. NCBI's taxonomy places the organism in Eukaryota, Metazoa, Arthropoda, Arachnida, Ixodida, Ixodidae.
UCCGCUACGAUUAAGCCCUGUUCGUGGUGCAGGUGGGUUUCCACCAGCUUCAAGCCCCAUUCCUGGUCCAAGUAGGUCUCCACCACCUUCAAGUCCCAUAUCUGUUCCAAGUAGGUCUCCCCCACCUUCAAGCCCCAUUCCUGGUCCAAGUAGGUCUCCACCACCUUCAAGCCCCAUUUCCAGCGUAAGUAGG